AGCUCCAAUGGUGUAUGCUAACAUUGUUGCAGUUAAAAAGCUCGUAGUCGAAUUUUUAAGGGAAUCAAUUUUAUGUGGUCUUAAUGAACUGCAAAGGAAUAUGAUUUAUCUUAUUUUAUGCUUUUGCACCGUUGGAAUUCGUUUUCUGAUAGUGGAGUAAGUUUGUGUUUACUUUGAGAAAAUUAGAGUGUUCAAAGCAGUCUUACGGCUUUAUAUUAAAGCAUGGAAUGAUAAAUAAUGACAUCGGUUAAUUUUUGUUGGUUUGAGAGGCUGAUGUAAUGAUUUAUAGAGUUAGUCGGAGGUAUUAGUAUUUUGUCGUUAGAGGUGAAAUUCCGGGAUCGACAAAAGACUAACAACUGCGAAAGCAUUUGCCUAGAAUUUGCUCC
This 386-nucleotide ribosomal RNA is filed under the name uncultured eukaryote. Its description in RNAcentral is "SSU rRNA". It matches the Rfam family "Eukaryotic small subunit ribosomal RNA", at positions 587 to 972 of the family's 1831-position model. The record is from RNAcentral.